RNAcentral lists this ribosomal RNA (1471 nucleotides) under Deporaus sp. 6-CK-2014. RNAcentral's name for it is "SSU rRNA". It matches the Rfam family "Eukaryotic small subunit ribosomal RNA", at positions 174 to 1561 of the family's 1831-position model. Lineage: Eukaryota; Metazoa; Arthropoda; Insecta; Coleoptera; Attelabidae. The record is from RNAcentral.
GAACUCCGACCGGAGACGGAAGGAGUGCUUUUAUUAGAUCAAAACCAAUCGGUGGCGGGUUCGCUCGUCAUCGUACAACUUGGUGACUCUGAAUAACUUUAUGCUGAUCGCACGGUCUCGCACCGGCGACGCAUCUUUCAAAUGUCUGCCUUAUCAACUGUCGAUGGUAGGUUCUGCGCCUACCAUGGUUGUAACGGGUAACGGGGAAUCAGGGUUCGAUUCCGGAGAGGGAGCCUGAGAAACGGCUACCACAUCCAAGGAAGGCAGCAGGCGCGCAAAUUACCCACUCCCGGCACGGGGAGGUAGUGACGAAAAAUAACGAUACGGGACUCAUCCGAGGCCCCGUAAUCGGAAUGAGUACACUCUAAACCCUUUAACGAGGAUCAAUUGGAGGGCAAGUCUGGUGCCAGCAGCCGCGGUAAUUCCAGCUCCAAUAGCGUAUAUUAAAGUUGUUGCGGUUAAAAAGCUCGUAGUCGAAUCUGUGUCUUGCGCCGCCGGUUCAUCGUUCGCGGUGUUAACUGGCGUGUCGCAGGACGUCCUGCCGGUGGGCUUAGCUCGCAAGGGCGGCCCAACUCAAUCCUGCCGCGGUGCUCUUCACUGAGUGUCGAGGUGGGCCGGCACGUUUACUUUGAACAAAUUAGAGUGCUUAAAGCAGGCUAAAACUUCGCCUGAAUACUGUGUGCAUGGAAUAAUGGAAUAGGACCUCGGUUCUAUUUUGUUGGUUUUCGGAACCCCGAGGUAAUGAUUAAUAGGAACGGAUGGGGGCAUUCGUAUUGCGACGUUAGAGGUGAAAUUCUUGGAUCGUCGCAAGACGGACAGAAGCGAAAGCAUUUGCCAAAAACGCUUUCAUUGAUCAAGAACGAAAGUUAGAGGUUCGAAGGCGAUCAGAUACCGCCCUAGUUCUAACCAUAAACGAUGCCAGCUAGCGAUCCGUCGACGUUCCUCCGAUGACUCGACGGGCAGCUUCCGGGAAACCAAAGCUUUUGGGUUCCGGGGGAAGUAUGGUUGCAAAGCUGAAACUUAAAGGAAUUGACGGAAGGGCACCACCAGGAGUGGAGCCUGCGGCUUAAUUUGACUCAACACGGGAAACCUCACCAGGCCCGGACACCGGAAGGAUUGACAGAUUGAGAGCUCUUUCUUGAUUCGGUGGGUGGUGGUGCAUGGCCGUUCUUAGUUGGUGGAGCGAUUUGUCUGGUUAAUUCCGAUAACGAACGAGACUCUAGCCUGCUAACUAGGCGUAUUUUGACAUCGCAAAGGCCCGCCGGUAUCGGGGUUCGCUCCUUUAUCGUGCGCGGUUUUUACUGUCGGCGUACAAACAAUUCUUCUUAGAGGGACAGGCGGCUUCUAGCCGCACGAGAUUGAGCAAUAACAGGUCUGUGAUGCCCUUAGAUGUUCUGGGCCGCACGCGCGCUACACUGAAGGAAUCAGCGUGUCCUCCCUGGCCGAGUGGCCCGGGUAACCCGCUGAACCU